Molecule: transfer RNA, 121 nt
Filed under: Candidatus Woesearchaeota archaeon
Lineage: Archaea; Nanobdellati; Candidatus Woesearchaeota
Also listed under: 1 other name
Description: tRNA-Lys
Rfam family: tRNA
About the family: Transfer RNA (tRNA) molecules are approximately 80 nucleotides in length.
Source: RNAcentral
GGGCUCGUAGCUCAGCCUGGUUAGAGCGGAUGGCUCUUAACCAUCAGGCCGGGGGUUCGAAGCGGGCAUGAAGCCCACCUAGACGAAACAGCUUCCUGGCACGAAAGUCCCCUCGGGCCCG